RNAcentral lists this transfer RNA (70 nucleotides) under Synchiropus altivelis. Its description in RNAcentral is "Foetorepus altivelis tRNA-Trp". It matches the Rfam family "tRNA". From Rfam's summary of the family: Transfer RNA (tRNA) molecules are approximately 80 nucleotides in length. Their secondary structure includes four short double-helical elements and three loops (D, anti-codon, and T loops). Lineage: Eukaryota; Metazoa; Chordata; Actinopteri; Syngnathiformes; Callionymidae. The record is from RNAcentral.
AGAGAUUUAGGUUAAAGCAGACCAAGGGCCUUCAAAGCCCUAAGUGGGGGUUAAAAUCCCCCAGCCUCUG